ACUCUUCCUAUCCCUCGAGGCUCUCGUUGCUGUGACAUCAAAAGCGAACUAGCUUCACUUGACUGGCUAGCUCCAUGUUUUGUUUGCGUCUUUCUACAGCAGAAGAAAUUACGAAUUUAACUCAGACUUUCUGCCGAAGAUAAUGAGCACAAAUGUGAGAACGUUUCUUCCUCGUCGCCAGUUUUGUUGUAUAGCACACUGUAUUACUUUUACAACUAAAAUAAGGACAGGACAUGAGACGGGAGUAGAAAUUAACGUCGGCAUUGUUUAAUGCGUUCCACAUGAAGAACAUUCCAAGCAUUUCAAUGUGGAGACAGUACUUCAUUGAUGAUACAUGGGAUGCUGUUGAACUCUGCAGUCUGUCAGCUGUAACUGGAACUCACUGCUGGAGUUUCUGGGGUGCAUUUAGUAGUCACAUUUUGCAACGGACACCAUUAACUCCUAAUGGAAAACAUUUUGCAAUGAAAACUAGAGUUUUUAUUGGACAAAUUCAGCUAGGUUUCUCCCCGUUUUGUUCUGUUUGCUUCCAUUUGUUUAUGUUUGGUUCUGUUUGGUUCCCAGUGAAUACACCCCAGGUAAUCCCCACCUCCUCCCAGAUAUCCUCAACUCCUUCCAGCAAUUUUUCUCCGUCUUUGAGCUCAUCCCUCUAUUCUAUAUCUCCCCCUCUCUCUUCCUCUCAUUCUCUCUCUUUCUGGUCAUGCUUGACUUGGCAAAUGUAUGAAAUUAUCAUAUAUUACUAUAUAGAAAUGUAAUGUAUGUAUGACAUUUUAUGUAAUGUAUUGUAGCGACCCGCACAGACAGCUGUGUGUUAUGUGCUAGGCUAGGAGGUGGUUGUGUUGUACUGACCAGUACCCGGUGUUCGCGGGGUCCGACAUGUCAAUCAACCUGCUAUCUGCCAAUCACGGGAAUGCCUGGAAUGUUCUGAUGCCGGGCAUCCUGGUGGUUGGCGGAGUGGCGUGGAGGGGGGUUGGGCAUUGGAAGUUAAGAGCAGGUUCAGCCUUUGUUCUCUCUCUCUUACGUCUGGGCUUCACAAGAGAAGGUCACGAUUGGCUUGUGGGUUAUCUGUCAUCUAUUUGGCGUGUGCUACGGCCCAAACAGUAGCCUGUGUAAAGUUGGUUCAAUAAACCGUCAAUUCGCAAACUCAAA
This is a long non-coding RNA of Oncorhynchus nerka (sockeye salmon), 1146 nucleotides long. RefSeq lists it as uncharacterized. Lineage: Eukaryota; Metazoa; Chordata; Actinopteri; Salmoniformes; Salmonidae. The transcript has 2 exons. The record is from RefSeq and is a predicted model, not a curated record.